Molecule: ribosomal RNA, 253 nt
Filed under: uncultured bacterium
Lineage: Bacteria
Description: partial 16S ribosomal RNA
Rfam family: Bacterial small subunit ribosomal RNA
Source: RNAcentral
GACAGAGGGUGCAAACGUUGUUCGGAAUUACUGGGCGUAAAGAGCGCGCAGGCGGUCGUGCAAGUCGCGUGUGAAAGCCCCCGGCUCAACUGGGGAGGGUCACGCGAUACUGUUCGACUCGAAGGCAGGAGAGGGAAGUGGAAUUCCCGGUGUAGUGGUGAAAUGCGUAGAUAUCGGGAGGAACACCAGUGGCGAAGGCGACUUCCUGGCCUGUUCUUGACGCUGAGGCGCGAAAGCUAGGGUAGCAAACGGG